This 431-nucleotide ribosomal RNA is filed under the name uncultured bacterium. RNAcentral describes it as "partial 16S ribosomal RNA". It matches the Rfam family "Bacterial small subunit ribosomal RNA", at positions 338 to 795 of the family's 1533-position model. The record is from RNAcentral.
CCUACGGGAGGCAGCAGUGGGGAAUAUUGCACAAUGGGCGAAAGCCUGAUGCAGCAACGCCGCGUGAGGGACGACGGCCUUCGGGUUGAAACCUCUUUUAGCAGGGAAGCGGUACCUGCAGAAAAAGCACCGGCUAACUACGUGCCAGCAGCCGCGGUAAUACGUAGGGUGCAAGCGUUGUCCGGAAUUAUUGGGCGUAAAGAGCUCGUAGGCGGUUUGUCGCGUCUGCUGUGAAAUCCCGAGGCUCAACCUCGGGUCUGCAGUGGGUACGGGCAGACUAGAGUGCGGUAGGGGAGAUUGGAAUUCCUGGUGUAGCGGUGGAAUGCGCAGAUAUCAGGAGGAACACCGAUGGCGAAGGCAGAUCUCUGGGCCGUACUGACGCUGAGGAGCGAAAGGGUGGGGAGCAAACAGGCUUAGAUACCCUUGUAGUC